RNAcentral lists this ribosomal RNA (761 nucleotides) under Phyllosticta hypoglossi. RNAcentral describes it as "eukaryotic LSU rRNA". It matches the Rfam family "Eukaryotic large subunit ribosomal RNA", at positions 87 to 866 of the family's 3401-position model. The record is from RNAcentral. Lineage: Eukaryota; Fungi; Ascomycota; Dothideomycetes; Botryosphaeriales; Phyllostictaceae.
CGGCGAGUGAAGCGGCAAUAGCUCAAAUUUGAAAGCUGGCACCUUCGGUGUCCGCGUUGUAAUUUGUAGAGGAUGCUUCGGCGAGGACUCCUGCCUAAGUUCCCUGGAAUGGGACGUCACAGAGGGUGAGAAUCCCGUAUGUGGCGGGCGGUCCAAGCCAUGUGAAGCUCCUUCGACGAGUCGAGUUGUUUGGGAAUGCAGCUCUAAAUGGGAGGUAAAUUUCUUCUAAAGCUAAAUACCGGCCAGAGACCGAUAGCGCACAAGUAGAGUGAUCGAAAGAUGAAAAGCACUUUGGAAAGAGAGUUAAAAAGUACGUGAAAUUGUUGAAAGGGAAGCGCUUGCAACCAGACUCGCUCGCAGUUGCUCAGCCCGCCUCUUGGUGGGUGUACUCUUCUGCGAUCGGGCCAGCAUCAGUUCGGGCGGCUGGAUAAAGGUGUCGGGAAUGUAGCACCCUUCGGGGUGUGUUAUAGCCCGGCGCGGAAUGCAGCCAGCCUGGACUGAGGAUCUCGCUUCGGCAAGGAUGCUGGCGUAAUGGUUGUAAGCGGCCCGUCUUGAAACACGGACCAAGGAGUCUAACAUCUAUGCGAGUGUUUGGGUGUCAAACCCAUGCGCGUAAUGAAAGUGAACGGAGGUGGGAACCCGUAAGGGUGCACCAUCGACCGAUCCUGAUGUCUUCGGAUGGAUUUGAGUAAGAGCAUAGCUGUUGGGACCCGAAAGAUGGUGAACUAUGCCUGAAUAGGGUGAAGCCAGAGGAAACUCUG